ACGAAUACAUUAGCAUGGGAUAAUGGAAUAGGACCCUGUCCUCCUAUUUUCAGUUGGUUUUGUUUACGCGAGAAGAAGGGGAUUGUGAAUAAGGGGUAUUUGGGGGGGUUUUUAUUUAUUUUUGUCAGAUGAGAUUUUCGUAUUUUUAAAAAAUAUUAUUUUCCGAAAGCAUCUCCGCCGGAGGUUUUCUUUAUUCUCAAAAAAAAAUUUUGGGAUCUAAAACAAUAUCAUACCCCCUCAUACUUAACCAUAAACAAUACCCACACCCGAUUAUAAGACAUUUAAAACAAAACACCCCCCCCUGCACGAUCCUCCUUGGGACGUCCUUGUUCGCGCUGGGUGGCGAUUGGGCGGCUUAGCCCGUGAAUGACUCCCCUUGCCUCCCCUAACAACUUGUGAGAA
RNAcentral lists this ribosomal RNA (402 nucleotides) under Acanthamoeba sp. RNAcentral's name for it is "partial small subunit ribosomal RNA". The record is from RNAcentral. Lineage: Eukaryota; Discosea; Longamoebia; Acanthamoebidae.